AGUCACGUGGUCUAAUGGUUAUGAUAUCUCGUUCACAAAAUGAACGCAUCCCGAGAUGGUUCCCGGUUCGAUCCCGGGCGUGACUA
This 86-nucleotide transfer RNA is filed under the name Aspergillus tanneri. RNAcentral describes it as "tRNA-Val". It matches the Rfam family "tRNA". From Rfam's summary of the family: Transfer RNA (tRNA) molecules are approximately 80 nucleotides in length. Their secondary structure includes four short double-helical elements and three loops (D, anti-codon, and T loops). The record is from RNAcentral. Lineage: Eukaryota; Fungi; Ascomycota; Eurotiomycetes; Eurotiales; Aspergillaceae.